GAUGAACGCUGGCGGCGUGCCUAAUACAUGCAAGUCGAGCGAACGGACGAGAAGCUUGCUUCUCUGAUGUUAGCGGCGGACGGGUGAGUAACACGUGGAUAGCCUACCUAUAAUACUGGGAUAACUUCGGGAAACCGGAGCUAAUACCGGAUAAUAUUUUGAACCGCAUGGUUCAAAAGUGAAAGACGGUCUUGCUGUCACUUAUAGAUGGAUCCGCGCUGCAUUAGCUAGUUGGUAAGGUAACGGCUUACCAAGGCAACGAUGCAUAGCCGACCUGAGAGGGUGAUCGGCCACACUGGAACUGAGACACGGUCCAGACUCCUACGGGAGGCAGCAGUAGGGAAUCUUCCGCAAUGGGCGAAAGCCUGACGGAGCAACGCCGCGUGAGUGAUGAAGGUCUUCGGAUCGUAAAACUCUGUUAUUAGGGAAGAACAUAUGUGUAAGUAACUGUGCACAUCUUGACGGUACCUAAUCAGAAAGCCACGGCUAACUACGUG
RNAcentral lists this ribosomal RNA (497 nucleotides) under uncultured bacterium. RNAcentral describes it as "partial 16S ribosomal RNA". It matches the Rfam family "Bacterial small subunit ribosomal RNA", at positions 28 to 507 of the family's 1533-position model. The record is from RNAcentral.